UUGGUUGUAGCUUAAUUGGUAAAGCCCAUGAAUGUGAAUCAUGACGAUAUCGGUUCGAGUCCGUUCAGCCAACCCA
RNAcentral lists this transfer RNA (76 nucleotides) under Gammaproteobacteria bacterium. RNAcentral describes it as "tRNA-His". It matches the Rfam family "tRNA". From Rfam's summary of the family: Transfer RNA (tRNA) molecules are approximately 80 nucleotides in length. Their secondary structure includes four short double-helical elements and three loops (D, anti-codon, and T loops). Lineage: Bacteria; Pseudomonadati; Pseudomonadota; Gammaproteobacteria. The record is from RNAcentral.